AGGGGUGUAGCUCAGUGGUAUGGUGUAUGCUUCACAUGCAUGAAGUCCUGGUUUCAAUUCCCAGCAUCAUUG
This 72-nucleotide transfer RNA is filed under the name Cavia porcellus (domestic guinea pig). It matches the Rfam family "tRNA". From Rfam's summary of the family: Transfer RNA (tRNA) molecules are approximately 80 nucleotides in length. Lineage: Eukaryota; Metazoa; Chordata; Mammalia; Rodentia; Caviidae. The record is from Rfam by way of RNAcentral.